UCUUAAUUCUUUGAAUAAACACAAUGUGAAUUGAAAUGAUAGACAAAGUAGAAUGUGAUUUCUGCAAGAUACUUUUAUGACCACUAGCAUUAUCCUUUGGCCUACCUACUUUUAUGAGCACUAGUAUUUCGUUCUAACCAGAUAAAAUAUUUACAUUGAUAAAGUAUAAUUGGUGCCGACACACUGUGGAUCGUUGUCGGGCAUCAAAAUUUUUAUUGUAAAUAAAAUACUACUAGUAUGAUUUGAUCGUUUUCGGGCAUCAAAUUUGAUCGUUGUGGUACAGAGCUCCUGAGGUUCUACUCGACUGCAGUUGAUAUGUGGUCUGUUGGCUGUAUUUUUGCGACAUGGUGAGAAGGCAAGCCUUGUUUCCUGGGGAUUCUGAGUUUCAGCAGCUUCUCCACAUUUUUUAGGUUGCUGGGAACGCCUACUAAGAAGGAGUGGCCGGGGGUUAGUUCUCUGCGUGAUUGGCACGUGUAUCCCCAGUGGGAGCCUCAAAACUUGGCGCGCGCUGUUCCAUCUCUCGGACCUGAUGGUGUUGACCUCCUAUCCUCCUUUUGGUUUGUGCAGAAGAUGCUUCAGUAUGAUCCUGCUGAUAGAAUCUCAGCUAAAGCUGCUAUGGAUCAUCCCUACUUCGACAGUUUGGAUAAAUGUCAGUUCUGAGACUUAUCGAGCUUCAAAUGGACGCUACUCAACCCGAUUUCUAAGGAAGAGUUGAGAUAUUGUUGGCAUCAUCUUGGUGGCAAGAGCAACUUUGUUGUGUAGCAUUCAUUCAUUAUCAACUUCUACAUAAUGUAUCAACAUUUGAGACAUGUUCUACCAGAACAUGCCACUGUGGUGUCAUCAUAAUAGUUACUGUACACUAUUUGUGUUGCCACAUUAUAUGAUAAUGAAAGUGUGUUUUGUUUGUGUCA
Molecule: long non-coding RNA, 911 nt
Organism: Salvia hispanica
Lineage: Eukaryota; Viridiplantae; Streptophyta; Magnoliopsida; Lamiales; Lamiaceae
Source: RefSeq, a predicted model, not a curated record